RNAcentral lists this ribosomal RNA (433 nucleotides) under uncultured bacterium. Its description in RNAcentral is "partial 16S ribosomal RNA". It matches the Rfam family "Bacterial small subunit ribosomal RNA", at positions 29 to 507 of the family's 1533-position model. The record is from RNAcentral.
AACGAACGCUGGCGGCAUGCCUAACACAUGCAAGUCGAACGAGACCUUCGGGUCUAGUGGCGCACGGGGGCGUAAGGCGUGGGAACCUGCCCUUAGGUUCGGAAUAACUCCCCGAAAGGGGUGCUAAUACCGGCUAAUGUCUCCGGACCAAAGAUUUAUCGCCUUUGGAGGGGCCCUCGUUGGAUUAGCUAGUUGGUAGGGUAAAAGCCUACCAAGGCGACGAUCCAUAGCUGGUCUGAGAGGAUGAUCAGCCACACUGGGACUGAGACACGGCCCAGACUCCUACGGGAUGCAGCAGUGCGGAAUAUUGGACAAUGGGCUAAAGCCUGAUCCAGCAAUGCCGCGUGAGUGAUUAAGGCCUUAGGGUUGUAAAUCUCGUUUACCCGGGAUGAUAAUGACAGUACCGGGAGAAUAAGCUCCGGCUAACUCCGUG